This 253-nucleotide ribosomal RNA is filed under the name uncultured bacterium. Its description in RNAcentral is "partial 16S ribosomal RNA". It matches the Rfam family "Bacterial small subunit ribosomal RNA", at positions 524 to 776 of the family's 1533-position model. The record is from RNAcentral.
GACGUAGGGGGCCAGCGUUGCUCGGACUUACUGGGCGUAAAGGGUUCGUAGGCGGUGUGGCAAGUCGGAAGUGAAAUCUCCAGGCUUACCUUGGAGGCUGCUCCCGAAACUGCCAUGCUAGAGUGCGGGAGAGGCCAGUGGAAUUGCAGGUGUAGCGGUGAAAUGCGGAGAUAUCUGCAGGAACACCCGUGGCGAAGGCGGCUGGCGGGACCGCAACUGACGCUGAGGCGCGAAAGCGUGGGUAGCAAACGGG